Cyanistes caeruleus (blue tit) is the source of this 256-nucleotide non-coding RNA. The record is from RefSeq and is a predicted model, not a curated record. Lineage: Eukaryota; Metazoa; Chordata; Aves; Passeriformes; Paridae.
UGUGCCCCCAGGAACAGCCUGAACGAGUAUUUCAAGGACAGCCGGAACGUGAAGAAGCUCAAAGACCCCACCAUGCGUUUCAAGCUGCUCAAGCACACCAGGCUCAACGUGGUGGCGUUUCUCAACGAGCUGCCCAAGACCCAGCACGACGUCAACUCCUUCGUGGUGGACAUCUGUGCCCAGACGAACACGCUGCUCUGCUUCACCGUCCACGGCAUUUUUAAGGAAGGUGAGUUCCCACUUGGAAUUUUGACUU